This 5007-nucleotide unclassified non-coding RNA is filed under the name Hevea brasiliensis (rubber tree). Lineage: Eukaryota; Viridiplantae; Streptophyta; Magnoliopsida; Malpighiales; Euphorbiaceae. The record is from RNAcentral.
GGUCAUCCAAUGCCUUAGCCAUUAAGUAAAACUGAUGUACAUGCAAUAAUAGAAUGUAAACUUGGUAGCUCAUUCAUAUCAAAUUUCAUAACAUGAAAUCUAAUUUUGUCAAAUCAACCCCACCAAAGACCAGAGUGCCCCUUUCCCUUGGCUUGUUAUUUUAGAGCAGCUCUUUCUGUAAUUUCUGUAAUUUCAUUUUAAAGAAAUUACAGUGCACCCCAUAAAUUAAUUUUCUUAGUAGUCAUCCCAAAUGAACCUAAAAAAGAAAGGGCAAAAUUAUGACCUUGUCCAGGAAGUUGCAUUUGGUUCCCACUUCACAGCUGUGGCAACUUUACCUAAUGAUGAUAUGUAUCAGGGCUGCGCAAGUACUUCUCAUAGAGCCACCGGGAAAUAAUCAGAGCAUUUCCAUUGCUGUCCACUGGGAAGUUGUUCCUACUUUUCUGCCAGUUAUUUGUGAGCUUUAUCCACUCUCUCCUCCAAUCCUUCAAUGGGAAACCAUGCCCAUUUUCCAAACUUGACAUUAAGUAUUUAAAGUAGAUAGCUGCUCGGGGACCAUAGUAAUCUAGCAGAAGACCACUCCAGUACUUGUUCCCAUAGUCACGAAGAAGACUCGCCUCAUCCUCUGUAUUGUCAAACCACAUAGUUAUCUGAGUUCUUGCAUUCCAUUCAAAUUGUCUUUCUUGUUCUUUGUCUUCGGCAAGUUGCUUUGCACUUUCUAACCAAGGUCCUAGAAGAAACCCCUCAUGGCAUGCUAAGAGCGUGUCCAUGUCUUCAACAAGAUCCAGAAACUUCUGACUCAAGUUAGCAACUCCAUUGACAUCAUUUGACUGAUAGGAUUCAAUGAUCUUCAAGAACAGCUCAUUUGCAUAUUUUGCCAAAGCUUGCCUUGUCAGGUCAACCAAGUCAUAGCUGUAAGUGUUGCUUCCUGAUAGUUCCUCCCCACUUGUGAUGAAAAAUUCUAAUGCACGUAAAAAUUCAGAGGUUGAAUACCAUAGGUGAGGAUGAUCAUAUGAAUCAGAAUUUUCUUUUAGGACUGCCCUUCUUGAUAUUGGUUUGCCAUUGUGGUGAUACCUCUUGUGCCGUAAUGAGAUAAGGAAAGGAUCAACAUCGGGGAAUGCUACAAUUACAUCCCUGUUUUUAUCCUGCUACAAUUAAAGUUACAUAAAGUUUUUCACAGAAAAACACAACUUUGAAAAUGGACUGGACACAAAUGCAAGCAACUGAGCAACUGGAUGGAUAAUUUUAAUCCGCAUCACUGCUGCAUGAUAUUUAUGCAACUCAACACUUCAUAUAGAUAAUGCAAAAAGGUGUUAAAUGUAACAUAAUAUGUAAAUAUCCUUAAAGAAGAUGAGGGAAGUUAUAAACAAGACAAGACAUACAUGAGAUGUAUACAAUAUGAAUUUAUAAAAAGGGCAUCUAAAUGCGCAAGACUUUCAGCAUUGCAACUCUGCAAUGGGUCAAAUGUACACAAGCCUCUCCUGACCUUGCAAAGAGGCCGUUUAUGUGGUUUUAAGCUAUGACCUCCCAAAUCUCAAUUGAAUUUCCAUAAAUAUGAACAAGAAGUCCAGCUUAUGCACAUUUGUGGAAGUCCAAGAAAUAAAAGGCAAUAAUUGCAUGAUAAUAAACACUAAGAGUUCAUUUAUGUCAUAACAUGAGGAAAAAAUUUUGGUAUUCAAGGGUAAUGCCUUGUUGAAUAUAGAUCCAUCCAUGCUUGGAAAAGGAGGAAUUAGUGACAAUUCCAGGUUUGAUCUUCCAUAUCAAUUGAUUCGUUGUUACAUUCAUUUUCAGAAAGAACAACUAAAAAGAGAAAAGAAGGAAAAGAAUGAUUAUUGCACAAUUGACAUAAAAGAAGACACUCAGAAGGUGAAUUAACAUAGGUUGAAUUUUCAAUAAGCUCAGAGAUACUAAAAAACCAGUAUUUUUUUUCUUUUUUUUGAGAAAAUACUACCUGUUAAAUGAAAUGUUGCAGGACUAAUCACUGACAUUACUAUUACUGUUAGCAGGGUUUCAAACAAUGGUAUUGGUCAUAGAUUAAGCCUGAAUCAGCUGUUGCUAUAUAAAACUAUGGUCUUUACAAUAUUGGCAAAAUGACUCAAAAUCAACAUUGGACCAAUAAUUUAAUAAAAUAUAUGGUAUAUCAAUAAAAUGAACACCUAAACCUUAUUUUGCUUAAAGGUUACCCUUCUAAGUAAAAAACGAGGUCCAAUGUUAAGAAAUUUUGGUGCCAGGGAAAGUUUUUUAGGUUAGGAAGAAAGAAAAGUGAGAGGAGCUGGUGGGUGAGUUGUAGCAGGUGGUUGCCUAGAAAAGCAACAUGAGUAAAACAAAAACCAUAGUUAACACUUCUAUUGCGGUAACAGAAGCAAAAUGGCCUGCAAUGGCUGUUGUGGCCAAUAAGGCCAUUUUAAUAAUCAGCAUGCUUCAAAAGUCAUAGUCAUGGAUCAGUAAAUAUUGUUUUGCCCCCUUCAAAUUCCCACUAAUGGACAAUAUUUAAUAUCCUGGUGCUUAGUGAUGCAUUCAGUAGCAGAAAAAACUGGUCUUGGACCUUCUAAAUAAUAACAGGAUCACAUUGCCUAUAACUCAAACAAGAAGCUCAGAAACCUUAUUUUUGAAACGUGCUGGUAAAAUUCACGGUUCAAGUCUAGUAAUGAAAUCCUUAAAAGUGUAUAUAUGAAAGAAAAGUGAAAAUGACAGUUUACAAGCUACACCACUGGAAAAGACAUGGGAUCAGAUGAUGACCUCCAAGUGACAAAUAGAAGGACGCUUCUCAGUUCUCUCAAUUGCAUUUAUAUAAUGUAAACAUACAUGAAGAAAAUAGGAAAAGUUUUGGGCUCUAAGAUUGCAUUUAUAUAAUGUAAACAUACAUGAAGAAAAUAGGAAAAGUUUUGGGCUCUAAGAAAAAGCUUGACGUUACCUUGACAUCAACUUUAUUAUGUUGAAAUGCCAUUUCAGACAUGAUAUCAUGGACAACAGGAUUCUGUUCUAUACCUUCCAUUGACAUUCCAAUACCAACCUUCAGAGAAGGAAAUAUAUAGACUAAGAAAAAUAAUUGGAUAAGAUGUUAAGAUAAUUAUUGUUAUUAACUAGUACUAGUACUCAAACAAUUAAUUACUUUAGAAGAGAGAGAGAGAGAGAUUUUUAUGAAACAUAACUAGUAAUCCUGCUUAUUUGGAGGCAUCAGCAUCAAAGACACCAGUGAAGGACAUCUUUACACAUUGUAAAUAGGUAGAUUCUACAUACAGAAUUAGAACUUCCCUAUAGCUUUACUCUAUGAUAUGACAGUCAAAAUCUUAUUCACACUCUCAGAAAGUGAAAUUGAAGAUUGCAUACGGCACACCACAAGGAAAAUUGCAAGAGGAAUCUGCCAUUUUGGUCAGUAAAUUAUGCACAUACAACCUCCGCAUGAUUUAUUGGCUUAAGCAAAGCUCCAAUUCAUCAGUUCAUUCUUCAUUCCAUUGUUGAGUUUUCACUUGUUCGAGCUUCAACUGGCCCAGAAGCUAUUGAGUCUAAAAUCCCAUACAUCUCUAUAUUUCCUGCAAAGUUGUGUAGCAUACACCAGAUGUAAGGGACACCAUAAAACUGCUCAGAUGUAAUCCAUAUAGGUUUCACUUCAGCAAAUAGAUCAAGGACCACCAGCCUCCCCACAGGAACAGAAUGUAAAAGUGCCUUCAUUUGCGGAGGUCUCCAGAAAGGAUCAUAUGAGAACAGCCACCCCUGUAUCAACCAGACAGCAUCAUUAUCACCACUUUGCAUUCCCUUGAAGACUGCUGCACCUAACACAGAGAUAUAAUCUGGCUCAUCAGAAGGUGGAGUGUUCUCAUCAAAAGUGUCGCAAUUGUAUAUGUGCCCUGUCCUUCCAUAUUCUUUUAUUUGCUGCUCAAUGAAUGCUCUUCCGAUCUCAAUGAACAACGGAUCUGUUGCAUCAAGAAGAUAAGUGCAGCACCAUCUAAGGUCGCUCUUAACUGAAAACCAAUUUCCUAAGCGUGCUAUCUUUGCUGAUGGAAAUAUAUUUGCUAAUGCUGCAGGAACAUUUCCAGAGAAAGCCGGAAGUACUGGAUUCAUUCCAAGUUCAUACAUUCUGGUGAUAAUUUUCUUCUGCAGGAUUAGUUGUUGAUCUAACCAACUUUGUGGUAGUGGGCCACCCCAUCUGUGCAAAUUUCCCAUUCGUGACCACGCGAGAAACGCAGGCCCUCCAAAGAAAUCAUCUAAAUCCACCUCGCUUAUAUUAAAUUUCUUGAAAACUUUUUGCCAAAUAGCCUCUUGCCCAGUAAAUGCUAACGGCAAAUUGAUACCAUGGAGAGCCAUCCAAUCGAUUUCCUUUUCCCAUCUUUCCCAGUCCCACCAUGCAAAAGUAUAACUAGAUGUAACAGCAUUCUGGUAAUAAUUCCAAGGAAUAGGUCUCUGAACCAAGAUACCAGUAUCUUGAACACGAGGAAGAGAGCCUAAGUUAGGUAUUGAAUUUAGUUGAGCACCACCAGUUUUUUCCCAAGAUAUAUGCGAACCACACCAAUACUUCAAAUACCAAUGCAAACCAGCUAAGACUUCCACUCCAGUGACCCCUGAAAUUAGAAUUUCUGGAGCUCCAGGCCUAGUAAAAGAAGGAUGAUUUUUUAUAAUAAAGCAUGAUUCCCCGCCACAUUGUUCCUUGGAGACAAUUCGAAACUCGAAUACCGAAGAAUAAGACGGAAGCAACCUUCGAAGAACGCCACGAGCUGCGGCUACUUGGACUGAGGGAGAAGCUCGCUCACGCUCCUGAAUUUCCAGAAGGCGCGAAAUGUAAUCGACGCCGAUCGUUGAUGAGUGAGCCGUUGAGAGAAUAGAGAACACGAAGAAGACGAGAGAAAUGGCGGGAAACAGAGAAGCCAUCGAAAGCGAUGAAGAUGAAGAGAGAGAGAGUGAGAAACCCUAGAAUAGGUGAAGAGAAGGAGAUUGGUGAUGAGGAAAGGACAUUCUAGCGGUGAGAGCAUGGGACAAACUUUCGAUGGCCGGCGAGAGAGAGAGAGAGAGAGA